UAACCUCCUACUUGGUCUUAAUGGCUGACC
This 30-nucleotide non-coding RNA is filed under the name Rattus norvegicus (Norway rat). The record is from RNAcentral. Lineage: Eukaryota; Metazoa; Chordata; Mammalia; Rodentia; Muridae.